CCUUUCAGACGGAGAACCAUUUGUGAAAGAUAUCAUCAGAAAAAGGUAAUUAAAAUUCCUUUAAACCAUAGAUCUAUCGGACUUUCAAAGAGGUCGAAUUGUUGGUGAUCGUAUGGCAGGCGCUGGCGUAACGAAAACACCCGAAAUGUUUAAUGUAUUAAUAAGUACUGUCUCGAAAGUAAAGACAGCCUUU
This is a long non-coding RNA of Octopus sinensis (East Asian common octopus), 193 nucleotides long. RefSeq lists it as uncharacterized. The record is from RefSeq and is a predicted model, not a curated record. The transcript is spliced from 4 exons. NCBI's taxonomy places the organism in Eukaryota, Metazoa, Mollusca, Cephalopoda, Octopoda, Octopodidae.